RNAcentral lists this ribosomal RNA (802 nucleotides) under uncultured bacterium. RNAcentral's name for it is "bacterial SSU rRNA". It matches the Rfam family "Bacterial small subunit ribosomal RNA", at positions 8 to 803 of the family's 1533-position model. The record is from RNAcentral.
AGAGUUUGAUCCUGGCUCAGGAUGAACGCUAGCGGCAGGCUUAACACAUGCAAGUCGAGGGGCAUCGCGGGUGGCAACACCUGGCGGCGACCGGCGAACGGGUGAGUAACGCGUGAGCAACAUGUCCUCAGUCGGGGGAUAAGCGAGGGAAACUUCGUCUAAUACCCCAUAACACUUUCAGGCGCAUGCCUUUAAGUUGAAAGCUUUUUUUGCGACUUUGGUUUGGCUCGCGUGACAUUAGCUAGUCGGUGGGGUAACGGCUCACCGAGGCUACGAUGUCUAGGGGUUCUGAGAGGAAGGCCCCCCACAUUGGGACUGGGACACGGCCCAAACUCCUACGGGAGGCAGCAGUGAGGAAUAUUGGUCAAUGGACGGAAGUCUGAACCAGCCAUGCCGCGUGAAGGAAGACUGCCCUAUGGGUUGUAAACUUCUUUUGCAGCAGAGCAAUAAGGCGUACGUGUACGCCGAUGAGAGUAUGUUGCGAAUAAGCAUCGGCUAACUCCGUGCCAGCAGCCGCGGUAAUACGGAGGAUGCGAGCGUUAUCCGGAUUUAUUGGGUUUAAAGGGUGCGUAGGCUGUUUUGUAAGUCAGCGGUGAAAGACCGGGGCCCAACUCCGGAAGUGCCGUUGAUACUGCAUUGCUAGAGUUCCCCUGCCGUGGGAGGAAUGAGUGGUGUAGCGGUGAAAUGCAUAGAUAUCACUCAGAACACCGAUUGCGAAGGCAUCUCACGAAGAGGCAACUGACGCUGAGGCACGAAAGCGUGGGGAUCAAAGAGGAUUAGAUACCCUGGUAGUCCACGCUGU